CCCACGAAAUCUGAUAGGCCCACCGCCAGUCUCGCCGCGUCCGCUUCCAACCGCCGGCCACCGCCCACCUCCAGCUCCGAAACCGUGAAGCCGGAGGACCGAGACGGCAAGACGGAGACAGGGGAGCCCUCUCAGGUUCGGCGACCUAGAGCUCCGCUUGUGCAUUCCUGGAGCGAGGGCAGAACGGGGCGGCAGCCGCUACAGCUCGCGCGAGAGGAGGGCGGGGAUGUCGAGGCCUCGAUGGUCCGCCGCCUCGGCUCCGGAUAACCACAUAGAGAAGGCGUAUGCUGGGCUGGUUCCGCCAAAGGAAGAGGAAGGAGCACCUAAGAACUGUAGGAAUGGGAGGCAUCAGGAAAACACUGAGACAAAUGUCUGUAUCCAAUAGUUUUCAUGCUUUCCUCCAUGUUCCCAUUCCCACCGCUCUUAGGUAUUCUCUUUCUUCCUCUUCCUGGCUUACUGGCCUAGUACAGCAAGAAUAGAAAGACUGAACUGAUGAAGGCUGUGGUAUGGUAUGCUGUGGUAUAUAUAAGGUCUCAGUACUUUAGACCAUACAAAAUCCUUGUGAGGGGAAAUAUAAGUGUAUGCAUCUACUUGCUACAGCAUGGUACACUGAUGCACAUUCUAUUCAAUGAAAGUGGGCCUGGAAGCAUCUAUUGGUAAAACGAUAGGUGACACAUUUGUAGACAGGGGAUUAUUACAUCUUAUUCCUUGAUAUUUCUAGAAGGCCAACAGCUAAGUCCUUGACACUAAUCAAUGCAACUACAGCACAGGGGAGAAACAAACUGUGAUUCAUUCAUGUUUUCAAAGAAUGAGAGAUCAGUGCAUGCGACUGAAGAUCAUUAGAAACAAGACAUUACUAACUUAGCACUGAUGGCGCUCUAUGCGAUAUAUGCCAGCUUGAUAUGACCCCAUGAGGUCACAAAUAUUAGAGGAAUUCACAUAUACUAGAAAACCACAUUUAUCAUGUAUUCAUUAACUGUGCACCAAAAUGAUAGGCAGAUUGAAAUUUGUACAAAGUAACAAAGAAAAAGCAAAAUUUGAACCAGAUCAUUAAUUUCACAAUUGGUGUGAUAAACACAAAUACGUUGUCACUAAUUGAUGAUCACAAUCUCCUAGAAGACUAAUUUUCUACUCUUACAUGUAUUCUUGAAUUCAAUUUUAAUGUUGAUUUAGCAUGAAGGUAUUGAUUUCAUCCUGAUGCGUGUAUGUUAAGUCUCAUUGUUAUGCACUGCCUUGAUAUUGGUUCAUAUCAUCAAUGCCUGCCAAUCAAUAAAGUAACAUGUACAUCAGAAUAUGAGACAAACUGCAUCCUGACCAUUUUAUAUCAACUUAACUUUUCUUUUUGUUCUGUUUCUAUCUGUCACUCAACAAUUGUAGAAGGCGUGCGUCAAAAUGGAGCCUGAGUAAUAAAGGACUUAACUUUCAUGUACACCUCACCAUUUGUUAUAUCAUUUUACGUGUUAUUUCUGUUUUAUUAUCAACUCUCUUAUGUAUGCAUUAGGAUCAGGUGCUUCCCCUUGUAUAAGAUUGGGGGUAUCAUACUAUCAUCUCGAAGUAUGUGUGUAUGUCUGAAGCUUCCUGCUUUAAUAUCUGUGUCAUAGUACAUGUCAAUGUUUUUUAAUCCAUCUGAUCAACAUCAAACCAGACUGUGGCACACCAAUUUUCAUAUGGGACCAAUAGUCAAACAUUGACCUUACUUAGAUAUAUAUAAGAGAACAUUGGGUAACUAACAUUUAGUGUAGGUAUCUUAAUACAAAAAUUGAUUAUUAUUUAUCUCUAUGCUGAAGCAGGCAUCUUUGUCAGAAUGCAGGUCCCUCUACAAGUGGUACGAGCUUGUUUAUUCCCACUUUUUCACCGUGAUAAGGAUCUUAAUCCCAAAAGAUAUGAACAACAUUUAUAUAAACUUGUGCUCAUGCAGUUGUAGACUGUACAGUACUUCAGUGACAGAUGAAAGCUAAGCAUAUUAACAACACUGAAUAAGUCCGAUGUUUGCGGGACUUGGAGAUCGGCUAUCCCUUCUAGUGUGAUCCUUCUGGAUGAGACAGAAGAGAAAGGAUCCAGUUCUCCAAAAGAAGUAAAAUAACUAGAUGGUAGCAAUCUGGCUCGUCAGUGAGUGCUUGUUCAGCUCUUGCUCUUCUUUUUAUGCAAUUUGUUUUAGAUAAACUCUUCUUCUAUUACAAACUGUGAUAUAGUCACUGUGGGGUACUUUCUUAAUCUGUAGUAUCAUUUUGUGCUAAUUAAUGCUCAGUUCACAGAAAAAUCAUUGGCCACAUUAUAAUUAUCUAACUUCACUGAAACCAUUUAAUAAUAGGCCAUUGGAAAUGGAAAUUUCUCAGAUCCCAUUAACGAUUUGACAUGUGUAUGAAGUUUAAUUAUUCGUAUAUGCUCUCAAGUUUGUACAACAAUGUCCUAGUUCGGCCACUAAGAUCCUACAAACCAUACUAAUUUUUUUGUCAUUUAUUUGUUUCCUUGAUUGCAAGCAUUUUGGCAAGUCCCAGGAAGAGGAAGGAACACCUAAGAACAAUAGGCAUGGGAGGCAUUGGGAAAGAAAAAGAACUUGAAUCCCCCUUAUUGAUCAUAGCUCAUUCUUUCCUCCAUGUUCCCAUGCCCAACGCCCUUAGAUACUCUUUUUCUUCAUCUUCCCAACUCACCCUCUAGCCCAUGAUCGUACUCUCCCUACGAACUCUCAAAUCUGUAUGUACUAUUAAAAGAACUGAGUGAGCUAAAUGGAAGAGGAAGGAGAACCUAAGAACGAUAGGAAUGGGAGGCAUUGGGAAAGCAAGAUACAACAUUCACCUCCAGUUGUGGAAGUGCACAUGCUUUCCUCCAUGCUCCCAUUCCCAUUGCUCUUAGACUAUCUCUUUCUUCCUCUUCCUGGUCCACCCUCACGGUCUAGGACUUGAAAAGUUUCAUAAUGAAAUGGAUGCAUGCAUUGCUAUGAAGCACACAUAUAUAAUCCCAGGGAGCAAAAGCACUGUACAGUGAACAAAAUCACCUACUACAGCAUCUGCAUGGUGCACAAAAGUACACUUCAUUCAAUGGCAUUAAUAUAUUGGGCUAUGUGACAUCUACUAUUAAUAAUAAAGAUCAAGUGUGGUGAUGAUGCCUGGAGAUUUUUUUUCAUGUGCCCAUCAAACGCGAGGAUAUUGUACAGGUGACAGCUUGGCAAGUUAAUGCUUGACUUAAUAAGCGAUGCAAAAUUACUUCCUGGCCUUUUGAGUAGUACUUUUAGGGAAAGAUAAGGAAAUCACGUUCUCAUCAUAGGGUACAUAUGCAAACAUGUACUCCCAGUUAUGGGUCCAAAUUCUUCCCAGUUUAACAGGAAAUCAAAACUAAGACAAAAGCAUUUAGUUGGUUUUAUAUAUGGAGAAUUCCAUCAACUAUUAGGUAAUGAUGGAUCUGUAGAAGACCACACAAUACAACAUCAACUAAGUUCUGUUCAUGCAUAGUGCAUUGGUGGUACCCUUUCUGUUGCUGCCCUUUCGGAGUUCCUUGAUCUUUGGGAUUUGUUGGCUGAGGUUACUUUGCAUCUCGAAGAUGAGCACAGUUUGAAGCAUUUUGAACCUGGGCAGUAUACGACCCGGGCAUCAUACCACCAAGCCUUGGUAACCUGUAUGAAUUCGUGGGCCCUUCAAGAAAAUUAAUGCCAUUUUUUUCUGUGGCUAGCAGUAGCAGUUCAUUGCUGAUGUCUGACUGCAGAUUGUUUGGCGAGAAGGGGACUGCCACAUCUUUAUGCAGUCAAGAAAAAUAGAGUGUCCAGCACAUAUGGGCAUCAUGUGUAUUCUCUGAUCAAGGCAGGUUUGGUUCUUGUUAUUUUGGAGAUUGGCCUAUAUGAUCCUUCAUCUCAGCCUGAUGACGUGUGGAGUUCAAAGUGUGGUACUGUGGUGGAUGAGAAUUAGCAUUUUGGACGCCACACCAUUGGAACGGGAGUAUGCUCAUUACUUUGGGGGCAGGGUUGAUAUGGAAAAAAAGGCUAAUUAAUAUUCAAGCCUUUGAGGCGAAAUUGCUUUUUGUUCUC
This is a long non-coding RNA of Sorghum bicolor (sorghum), 4018 nucleotides long. RefSeq lists it as uncharacterized. The record is from RefSeq and is a predicted model, not a curated record. Lineage: Eukaryota; Viridiplantae; Streptophyta; Magnoliopsida; Poales; Poaceae. The transcript has 3 exons.